Molecule: ribosomal RNA, 253 nt
Filed under: uncultured bacterium
Lineage: Bacteria
Description: partial 16S ribosomal RNA
Rfam family: Bacterial small subunit ribosomal RNA
Source: RNAcentral
UACGUAGGGUGCAAGCGUUGUCCGGAAUUAUUGGGCGUAAAGAGCUCGUAGGCGGUCUGUCGCGUCUGCUGUGAAAACCUAGGGCUUAACUCUGGGCGUGCAGUGGGUACGGGCAGGCUAGAGUGCGGUAGGGGAGACUGGAAUUCCUGGUGUAGCGGUGGAAUGCGCAGAUAUCAGGAGGAACACCGGUGGCGAAGGCGGGUCUCUGGGCAGUAACUGACGCUGAGGAGCGAAAGCGUGGGGAGCGAACAGG